This 73-nucleotide transfer RNA is filed under the name Chloroflexota bacterium. RNAcentral's name for it is "Chloroflexi bacterium tRNA-Ala". It matches the Rfam family "tRNA". Rfam says of the family: Transfer RNA (tRNA) molecules are approximately 80 nucleotides in length. Their secondary structure includes four short double-helical elements and three loops (D, anti-codon, and T loops). Further hydrogen bonds mediate the characteristic L-shaped molecular structure. tRNAs have two regions of fundamental functional importance: the anti-codon, which is responsible for specific mRNA codon recognition, and the 3' end, to which the tRNAs corresponding amino acid is attached (by aminoacyl-tRNA synthetases). tRNAs cope with the degeneracy of the genetic code in two manners: having more than one tRNA (with a specific anti-codon) for a particular amino acid; and 'wobble' base-pairing, i.e. permitting non-standard base-pairing at the 3rd anti-codon position. Lineage: Bacteria; Bacillati; Chloroflexota. The record is from RNAcentral.
GGGGAUAUAGCUCAGUUGGGAGAGCGCGUCAAUCGCACUGAUGAGGUCAGGGGUUCGAGUCCCCUUAUCUCCA